Molecule: ribosomal RNA, 254 nt
Filed under: uncultured bacterium
Lineage: Bacteria
Description: partial 16S ribosomal RNA
Rfam family: Bacterial small subunit ribosomal RNA
Source: RNAcentral
UACAGAGGGUGCGAGCGUUAAUCGGAAUUACUGGGCGUAAAGCGUGCGCAGGCGGUCUGUUAAGACCGAUGUGAAAUCCCCGGGCUUAACCUGGGAACUGCAUUGGUGACUGGCAGGCUUUGAGUGUGGCAGAGGGAGGUAGAAUUCCACGUGUAGCAGUGAAAUGCGUAGAGAUGUGGAGGAAUACCGAUGGCGAAGGCAGCCUCCUGGGCCAACACUGACGCUCAUGCACGAAAGCGUGGGGAGCAAACAGG